Molecule: long non-coding RNA, 1572 nt
Organism: Passer domesticus (house sparrow)
Lineage: Eukaryota; Metazoa; Chordata; Aves; Passeriformes; Passeridae
Exons: 4
Source: RefSeq, a predicted model, not a curated record
GGAGGCCAGAGCCCUGCAAGGGGCAGGGGUAGAGGAGACCUGGGAUGUUUUGGGCAGCCCCCCCCGUGAGAGAGUGAUAGAGACUGUGCUGGCUUGAAAUUUGAUAUCUUAUGCUGGCACCAUGGCCAGGAGAAGAAGAAGAAGGAGAAGAAGAGGGGGGGUUGGGGCGGGGGCAAGGUGCCCAGCCGCAGGCAGACCGCAGCUGAGAUUUUAAUCUCAUUGUUUUAAUGCCGUUGGUACUGAGAUAAUGGAAGCUGUAAAAAACACCGAUCCUCCCUAUCUGAGAAUUGAGAGGGGACGGGGGAGGGGCAGAUGAGAAGAAGGCUUGACUGAGUGAAGAAAUACCAGCAGAUGAGAAGUGCCCUAGAUGGAGGAGAUGAUUGGAGUGGCUUUGGCUGGACUUUCCUUUUACAUGGCCACAGGACGGAACCAAAUCUUCCUGUAAUGUAGAGAUUGCACCUUGGGGGAGGCGGUUGGCCAGAAGCCAGGAGUGACAAAGCCAUUGUGAGAAGAAGUAGAGGGAACAGAGACUGAUGGGAAGGGUGUGGUGGAGCCCUCUGCCUCCAGUGAAGGAUCUCUGUUCCUGAGAUCCCCAGGCCCCAGGAGAGUAAAUAUGGGGGGGACAGAUGUCCCAAAUGGUGAGAGGCUGCCACUUCUUGGAACUGGGCGAGGCAUUCUUCAAAGGACCUGAGAAGCAGUUUGGAUCCAUGGACAGUGGAUGUGUCUAUUUGGUGGAUAGUGAUUCCAAAACCCAUAUUUCUGUUCUGCAAGACAUGUUCUUCACAUAUACCAGUCAGGCUCUCAGUGUCUCCAAAUCCAGUUCAGACCAGCAUCAUGGAUCCAGGGAUAGAGGAAGAGUGGCUGGAAAAUGGCCCAGCAGAAAAGGACCUGGGAUUGCUGGCUGACACAGCUGAACAUGACCCAGUGUGUGCCCAGAUGGCCAAAGAGGCCCAAUGGCAUCCUGGCCUGUAUCAACAAUAGUGUGGCCAGCAGGACAGGGGCAGGGAUUGUCCCUCAGUACUCAGCACUGGUGAGGCCACACCUUGAAUCCUGUGUCCAAUCUGAGCCCCUCACUGCAAGAAAGACAUUGAGGUACUGAAGUGUGUCCAGAGAAAGGCAAUUAAACCAAUGAAGGGGCUGGAGCACAGAUAUGGCAAUAAAAAACUUCCCAGUUUGGAAUGCUCAGCAUGGGCUGGAGUCUGAAACUGUGUCAACUGAGAUCUGAAGCACCUCCUGUUCAUGGAUGAGACAUGCAAAUCUCAGUGUAUGACAGAAAGAUGGGUUCUGGCGAAAUCCAUCAGGUCUUGCAGUCUAGUUUGUCUGGGAAUCAGAGAUGUAAAUCCUGCCUCAGAAUGCACCUCCUCCCCAGUGUGGACACACGGUCACUUCCUGAGAGUUUAACUGCUUUCAAAAAGCAGCCUAAAUGCAGUUUCAAUUAGCAUAAAUUCAAAAUAAUUAAAGUGCAAUAUGUGCAAAGAGUUUUUUCUCAUUAAACCCAAAUAAGAAAAUAAUUUCUUUAUUAAAUACAUUGCUUCAUUGCAGAGAGAAGCAACUGUUAUUUCUUCAUCUAUU